Molecule: ribosomal RNA, 444 nt
Filed under: uncultured bacterium
Lineage: Bacteria
Description: bacterial SSU rRNA
Rfam family: Bacterial small subunit ribosomal RNA
Source: RNAcentral
CCAGACUCCUACGGGAGGCAGCAGUGGGGAAUAUUGCACAAUGGGGGAAACCCUGAUGCAGCGACGCCGCGUGAGCGAAGAAGUAUUUCGGUAUGUAAAGCUCUAUCAGCAGGGAAGAAAAUGACGGUACCUGACUAAGAAGCUCCGGCUAAAUACGUGCCAGCAGCCGCGGUAAUACGUAUGGAGCAAGCGUUAUCCGGAUUUACUGGGUGUAAAGGGAGCGUAGGCGGUAAGGCAAGUCUGAUGUGAAAGGCCAGGGCUCAACCCUGGGACUGCAUUGGAAACUGUUUAACUGGAGUGUCGGAGAGGCAAGUGGAAUUCCUAGUGUAGCGGUGAAAUGCGUAGAUAUCACGCAGAACUCCGAUUGCGAAGGCAGCGCACCGGCGCCCUACUGACGCUCAGGCACGAAAGCGUGGGUAUCGAACAGGAUUAGAUACCCCAGUA